CGUAGGAAGUAGUCAAGGAGACUAUCCUUGUUGGACGUUUUAAAAUGGAACACGUUUCGAUAAAUCACUUUCGGAUGGGUACGUGUCACGGAUAAUCCAGAUAAACAGGAAGACAGACAACACUGCUUGUUAAGGUGUGCCAGAAACCAGAGGAUCACGGAAACACACCCAAUAAACCAAUAGUUUGACCAAACUUGGUCAAAAUUUUUUGCUGCGCAACACGCGGCUGUCGUUCGUUAGUCGUUAUCGUAUCUGAAACCGUCCUCGUGAACAGUUACAGAAGCAGUCGUCAAUUCUGCUCCUCUAUAGUUUAGGUGCUCUUGGGUCGUACCUUUGCCAUCACCGCCGUUCAAAUACCUAUUCAUUUAUCAUCUGCCGUCAAUCUUUUGUCAGCAUUAACUUGCUGACGUGGCUUGUCGACCCAGCCUAGGCUGCUUUGAGAUGUCAGAUGCCUAUCUUAUAACUUUUGUCAAAUAAUUAC
Molecule: long non-coding RNA, 481 nt
Filed under: Manihot esculenta (cassava)
Lineage: Eukaryota; Viridiplantae; Streptophyta; Magnoliopsida; Malpighiales; Euphorbiaceae
Description: long non-coding RNA (MESC_LNC000935)
Source: RNAcentral